GACAGAGGGGGCAAGCGUUGUCCGGACUGACUGGGCGUAAAGCGCGCGCAGGCGGUCUCGGGCGUCGGUGCUGAAAGUCCACCGCUUAACGGUGGGAUGCGUGCCGAUACGCCGAGACUGGAGGGUGGGCGAGGGUGGUGGAAUUGCCGGUGUAGUGGUGAAAUGCGUAGAGAUCGGCAGGAACACCCGUGGUGAAAACGGCCACCUAGCCCAUUCCUGACGCUGAGGCGCGACAGCGUUGGGAGCGAACGGG
RNAcentral lists this ribosomal RNA (253 nucleotides) under uncultured bacterium. Its description in RNAcentral is "partial 16S ribosomal RNA". It matches the Rfam family "Bacterial small subunit ribosomal RNA", at positions 524 to 776 of the family's 1533-position model. The record is from RNAcentral.